This 938-nucleotide ribosomal RNA is filed under the name Microbacterium aurantiacum. Its description in RNAcentral is "bacterial SSU rRNA". It matches the Rfam family "Bacterial small subunit ribosomal RNA", at positions 550 to 1473 of the family's 1533-position model. The record is from RNAcentral. Lineage: Bacteria; Bacillati; Actinomycetota; Actinomycetes; Micrococcales; Microbacteriaceae.
AUUAUUGGGCGUAAGAGCUCGUAGGCGGUUUGUCGCGUCUGCUGUGAAAUCCNGGAGGCUCAACCCCCGGCCUGCAGUGGGUACGGGCAGACUAGAGUGCGGUAGGGGAGAUUGGAAUUCCUGGUGUAGCGGUGGAAUGCGCAGAUAUCAGGAGGAACACCGAUGGCGAAGGCAGAUCUCUGGGCCGUAACUGACGCUGAGGAGCGAAAGGGUGGGGAGCAAACAGGCUUAGAUACCCUGGUAGUCCACCCCGUAAACGUUGGGAACUAGUUGUGGGGUCCAUUCCACGGAUUCCGUGACGCAGCUAACGCAUUAAGUUCCCCGCCUGGGGAGUACGGCCGCAAGGCUAAAACUCAAAGGAAUUGACGGGGACCCGCACAAGCGGCGGAGCAUGCGGAUUAAUUCGAUGCAACGCGAAGAACCUUACCAAGGCUUGACAUACACGAGAACGCUGCAGAAAUGUAGAACUCUUUGGACACUCGUGAACAGGUGGUGCAUGGUUGUCGUCAGCUCGUGUCGUGAGAUGUUGGGUUAAGUCCCGCAACGAGCGCAACCCUCGUUCUAUGUUGCCAGCACGUAAUGGUGGGAACUCAUGGGAUACUGCCGGGGUCAACUCGGAGGGAAGGGUGGGGGAUGACGUCAAAUCAUCAUGCCCCCUUAUGUCUUGGGGCUUCCACGCAUGCUACCAAUGGGCCGGUACAAAGGGCUGCAAUACCGGCGAGGGUGGGAGCGAAUCCCAAAAAGCCGGUCCCAGUUCGGAUUGAGGUUCUGCAACUCGACCUCAUGAAGUCGGAGUCGCUAGUAAUCGCAGAUCAGCAACGCUGCGGUGAAUACGUUCCCGGGUCUUGUACACACCGCCCGUCAAGUCAUGAAAGUCGGUAACACCUGAAGCCGGUGGCCCAACCCUUGUGGAGGGAGCCGUCGAAGUGGGAUCGGUA